GCACAGAUGUCAUGCGGGGAGAUCAGAUUUCACGAUCCGUGACAUUUUUCAUGGCUGUGAAUUUGGUAGGACCCUAGUCAUGGAGAAGCAGCACUCUCACAGCUUUGCUCCCUCUGCCCAGCCAUGCUCCAAGUUCAGAGAAGCCCAAUCUCAUGGAGCUCAGAGAGGAGAGCUGUGUCGACUCAACUCUGCCUUCAGAUAGAUUUCAUGUCAAAGGAGCAAAAAAAACCAGUGGAUAAAAAGGCCAAGUGAGAGCUGCGAGAUUGUUUAAGCUGCAUCAGGGUUUCCUAGGAACCGAAACCAGUAAAUUCCAGUGAUGUGAACCAAAUUCUAUAGAACUUUGUAAACAGAGUGCCUGUUUGAUAUUUCAAAGGAUCACAGCAUUUUCACUACUCAAUGAUCUUUAUGGAAUUAUUUAUGUAGAAGUAUUCUGCAAGUUGAGAGCCAUGAACCAGUCUUGAGCUUGGAGCGAUGGAAUGAUGGAGGGAAGUGUUACCAUUCUGAACCUGAGACAUGUACAUAUUUGUUCAGUCUGCUCAAGUCUAAGAUAGAAGAAAGAGGGUUUUUAUCCUUCGAAAUGAGGAAAUACUAACAGUAGAAGCCGUUACCCCUGUACUCUGGAGGAACCUCCUUUACAGCUCUUAGAUGAAGCAAUGAGACCACACUGCUGAUUGUAGUAGGUUCUUAUGAGAAGGGUCCCUGAAGAGGGAUGGGGAAACUAUGGGCAAUGAUCUCUAAAAUCCAUCUGUUGGCUGUCAGGGCAGGCAACAUCCAGUUGAAUGGGAUGAGGUGGCUUCCGAAGGUUAUGUUCUCUCUAGACUGGGUUUGAUGCAGCUCUCAAUUAUCUUAUCAAAUCUGCUGACUUGUCAAAGCAGCAGCGUGCAUUGCCAGGGAAGAGGAAGGUUGGUGCCUCGUGUUGUAUGGUGCAUGCCUUUUGGCUCGCUAUUUCAUCUGUCUGGGCCACUAAGAUGGUGUGUGCUGUCUCAGCCGUGGCUGGGCAUGGUAUGGCUUGCAGUAUGAAGGAGAGGUGUAAGUCCCCAGAGAGUACAGGGAGCACUGGAGUCAUUCAGUGAGUGAGGAGUGCUGUCCAUCCUCUUGAUGAACAGCUCUGUGCCCUCAAAGGACAAGUCCUCUAUCAUGGCCAUGGGCUUUAAGAGGGAACAGAGGGAGCAUUACAACUGCCCUGCCCUUUAUGCCCUUAUAUGGGAGCAUGCAGUAGUACCAGACACGUGUGGCCCCACUGGACACUGCUAGUCACAAAGAUCAGGUUGUGUGUCCAGGAAGUGCAUGAGCACCUACAGUGGGAUCCACUCUGACAAACUUGAAGAACUUUGUUAUUUCCAUCACAACGUGUUGCAGAAAAAGUGAAAUAAAACCA
This is a non-coding RNA of Chelonoidis abingdonii (Abingdon island giant tortoise), 1378 nucleotides long. The record is from RefSeq and is a predicted model, not a curated record. Lineage: Eukaryota; Metazoa; Chordata; Testudines; Testudinidae.